RNAcentral lists this ribosomal RNA (507 nucleotides) under uncultured Thalassovita sp. RNAcentral describes it as "bacterial SSU rRNA". It matches the Rfam family "Bacterial small subunit ribosomal RNA", at positions 551 to 1050 of the family's 1533-position model. The record is from RNAcentral. Lineage: Bacteria; Pseudomonadati; Pseudomonadota; Alphaproteobacteria; Rhodobacterales; Roseobacteraceae.
UUACUGGGCGUAAAGCGCGCGUAGGCGGGCUAGUAAGUUAGAGGUGAAAUCCCAGGGCUCAACCCUGGAACUGCCUUUAAUACUGGCAACCUAGAGUUCGAGAGAGGUGAGUGGAAUUCCGAGUGUAGAGGUGAAAUUCGUAGAUAUUCGGAGGAACACCAGUGGCGAAGGCGGCUCACUGGCUCGAUACUGACGCUGGAGGUGACGAAAGUGGUGGGGAGCAAACAGGAUUAGAUACCCUGGUAGUCCACACCGUAAACGAUGAAUGCCAGUCGUCGGGGUAGCAUGCUAUUCGGUGACACACCUAACGGAUUAAGCAUUCCGCCGUGGGGAGUACGGUCGCAAGAAUUAAACUCAAAGGAAUUGGACGGGGGCCCGCACAAGCGGUGGAGCAUGUGGUUUAAUUCGAAGCAACGCGCAGAACCUUACCCAACCCUUGACAUCCUGUGCUACAUCCAGAGAUGGAUCGGUUCCCUUCGGGGACGCAGUGACAGGUGCUGCAUGGCU